UUUUCGACAUCCUGAUCUUCUCAAUU
RNAcentral lists this small RNA (26 nucleotides) under Arabidopsis thaliana (thale cress). RNAcentral's name for it is "ATSL297000". The record is from RNAcentral. Lineage: Eukaryota; Viridiplantae; Streptophyta; Magnoliopsida; Brassicales; Brassicaceae.